Molecule: ribosomal RNA, 433 nt
Filed under: uncultured bacterium
Lineage: Bacteria
Description: partial 16S ribosomal RNA
Rfam family: Bacterial small subunit ribosomal RNA
Source: RNAcentral
AACGAACGCUGGCGGCAUGCCUAACACAUGCAAGUCGAACGAGACCUUCGGGUCUAGUGUCGCACGGGUUCGUAACGCGUGGGAACCUGCCCUUAGGUUCGGCAUAACUCCCCGAAAGGGGUGCUAAUACCGGAUAAUGUCUUCGGACCAAAGAUUUAUCGCCUUUGGAUGGGCCCGCGUUGGAUUAGCUAGUUGGUAGGGUAAAAGCCUACCAAGGCGACGAUCCAUAGCUGGUCUGAGAGGAUGAUCAGCCACACUGGGACUGAGACACGGCCCAGAAUCCUACGGGAGGCAGCAGUGGGGAAUAUUGGACAAUGGGCGAAAGCCUGAUCCAGCAAUGCCGCGUGAGUGAUGAAGGCCUUAGGGUUGUAAAGCUCUUUUACCCGGGAUGAUAAUGACAGUACCGGGAGAAUAAGCUCCGGCUAACUCCGUG